AUGAACGAUGCUUUGAUCAAGCCGUUUAUAGAGAAGGAGGUCAGUGACGCACUCUUCCAAAUUGGCCCACUAAAGGCGUCGGGACCGGAUGGCUUCCCAGCACAGUUCUUCCAAAGGAAUUGGGUAGUUCUCAAAGAGGAGAUUAUUCAAGGUGUCAUCAUUUUCUUUGCAAAGGUUGAGAUGCCGGAAGGUGUAAAUGUGACCACGAUUGUUCUGAUCCCGAAGACAAAUGAUCCAUGGUGUAUCAAAGAUUACCGCCCAAUUAGCCUAUGCAAUGUCUUGUACAAAAUCAUUUCUAAGGUGUUGUUUAAUAGGCUGCGGCCUUUCCUUGAUGAACUUAUUUCUGAGACUCAGAGCGAUUUCAUCCCAGUAAGAAUGAUCACAGAUAACGCAAUCAUUGCGUUCGAAUGUUUCCACAAGAUCCAGAACAGCAAAAACAAAAGGGGCUCCCACUACGCAUACAAGCUCGACCUUGCAAAAGCAUAUGAUCGUGUUGACUGGGACUUCUUGGAAAAAGUGGGAUUUUGA
Molecule: ribosomal RNA, 528 nt
Filed under: Triticum aestivum (bread wheat)
Lineage: Eukaryota; Viridiplantae; Streptophyta; Magnoliopsida; Poales; Poaceae
Description: partial small subunit ribosomal RNA
Source: RNAcentral